Molecule: non-coding RNA, 174 nt
Filed under: Vibrio sp.
Lineage: Bacteria; Pseudomonadati; Pseudomonadota; Gammaproteobacteria; Vibrionales; Vibrionaceae
Also listed under: 1 other name
Description: Lysine sequence
Rfam family: Lysine riboswitch aptamer
About the family: Riboswitches are metabolite binding domains within certain messenger RNAs that serve as precision sensors for their corresponding targets.
Source: RNAcentral
AAAUGCAGAAGAGGAGCAUUGCCCAGGUAGGUAGUUUGUGGAGCCCCACUCCAAGACAAAUUACUCAGGGGGAGCAGUGCCGAGGUGUUGAUUUUGGGGAAAGUCGAUAUCGGGUGUUUAGGUUGAAUCCUAGCAACUGUCGCUCGACCUAAAGAGCGAUGAGCUUCUAAGAAU